UCCAGACUCCUACGGGAGGCAGCAGUGGGGAAUAUUGGACAAUGGGGGGAACCCUGAUCCAGCGACGCCGCGUGAGUGAAGAAGUAUUUCGGUAUGUAAAGCUCUAUCAGCAGGGAAGAAAGAAAUGACGGUACCUGACUAAGAAGCCCCGGCUAACUACGUGCCAGCAGCCGCGGUAAUACGUAGGGGGCAAGCGUUAUCCGGAUUUACUGGGUGUAAAGGGAGCGUAGACGGCGAUGCAAGUCUGAAGUGAAAGGCGGGGGCCCAACCCCCGGACUGCUUUGGAACUGUGUGGCUGGAGUGUCGGAGAGGCAGGCGGAAUUCCUAGUGUAGCGGUGAAAUGCGUAGAUAUUAGGAGGAACACCAGUGGCGAAGGCGGCUUACUGGACGAUGACUGACGCUGAGGCUCGAAAGCGUGGGGAGCAAACAGGAUUAGAUACCCCGGUACA
RNAcentral lists this ribosomal RNA (449 nucleotides) under uncultured bacterium. RNAcentral describes it as "partial 16S ribosomal RNA". It matches the Rfam family "Bacterial small subunit ribosomal RNA", at positions 330 to 794 of the family's 1533-position model. The record is from RNAcentral.